Molecule: ribosomal RNA, 2873 nt
Filed under: Cupriavidus taiwanensis
Lineage: Bacteria; Pseudomonadati; Pseudomonadota; Betaproteobacteria; Burkholderiales; Burkholderiaceae
Description: bacterial LSU rRNA
Rfam family: Bacterial large subunit ribosomal RNA
Source: RNAcentral
UCAAGCGAACAAGUGCAUGUGGUGGAUGCCUUGGCGAUCACAGGCGAUGAAGGACGCGGUAGCCUGCGAAAAGCUUCGGGGAGCUGGCAAACAAGCUUUGAUCCGGAGAUGUCCGAAUGGGGAAACCCGGCCCGUAUGGGUCAUCCCACACUGAAUCCAUAGGUGUGGGAAGCGAACGCGGCGAACUGAAACAUCUAAGUAGCUGCAGGAACAGAAAUCAACCGAGAUUCCCAAAGUAGUGGCGAACGAAAUGGGAAGAGCCUUGCACUCUUUAGCAAGACUGUUAGCAAAACGGGAUGGAAAGCCCGGCCAUAGCAGGUGAUAGCCCUGUAUGCGAAAACAGACUUGUGGAACUAGGUGUGCGACAAGUAGGGCGGGACACGUGAAAUCCUGUCUGAAGAUGGGGGGACCAUCCUCCAAGGCUAAAUACUCGUGAUCGACCGAUAGUGAACCAGUACCGUGAGGGAAAGGCGAAAAGAACCCCGGGAGGGGAGUGAAAUAGAUCCUGAAACCGCAUGCAUACAAACAGUCGGAGCCUCGUAAGGGGUGACGGCGUACCUUUUGUAUAAUGGGUCAGCGACUUACAUUCAGUGGCAAGCUUAACCGAUUAGGGAAGGCGUAGCGAAAGCGAGUCCGAACAGGGCGUUGAGUCGCUGGGUGUAGACCCGAAACCAGAUGAUCUAUCCAUGGCCAGGUUGAAGGUGCGGUAACACGUACUGGAGGACCGAACCCACUAACGUUGAAAAGUUAGGGGAUGAGCUGUGGAUAGGGGUGAAAGGCUAAACAAAUCUGGAAAUAGCUGGUUCUCUCCGAAAACUAUUUAGGUAGUGCCUCGUGUCUCACCUUCGGGGGUAGAGCACUGUCAUGGUUGGGGGGUCUAUUGCUGAUUACCCCGCCAUAGCAAACUCCGAAUACCGAAGAGUGCAAUCACGGGAGACAGACAUCGGGUGCUAACGUCCGGUGUCAAGAGGGAAACAACCCAGACCGCCAGCUAAGGUCCCCAAAUAUAGCUAAGUGGGAAACGAAGUGGGAAGGCUAAAACAGUCAGGAGGUUGGCUUAGAAGCAGCCACCCUUUAAAGAAAGCGUAAUAGCUCACUGAUCGAGUCGUCCUGCGCGGAAGAUGUAACGGGGCUAAGCUAUAUACCGAAGCUGCGGACGCACGCAAGUGCGUGGUAGGAGAGCGUUCUGUAAGCCUGUGAAGGUGUCUUGUAAAGGAUGCUGGAGGUAUCAGAAGUGCGAAUGCUGACAUGAGUAGCGAUAAAGGGGGUGAAAGGCCCCCUCGCCGUAAGCCCAAGGUUUCCUACGCAACGUUCAUCGGCGUAGGGUGAGUCGGCCCCUAAGGCGAGGCAGAGAUGCGUAGCUGAUGGGAAGCAGGUUAAUAUUCCUGCACCGUCGUAUGAUGCGAUGGGGGGACGGAUCGCGGAAGGUUGUCCGGGUGUUGGAAGUCCCGGUCCCUGCAUUGGAGAAGGCGCUCAGGCAAAUCCGGGCGCGGAAUUCAAGAGUGUGGGGCGAGCGGCCUAGUGCUGCGAAGCAAUUGGAAGUGGUUCCAAGAAAAGCCUCUAAGCUUCAGUCAUACGAGACCGUACCGCAAACCGACACAGGUGGGCGAGAUGAGUAUUCUAAGGCGCUUGAGAGAACUCGGGAGAAGGAACUCGGCAAAUUGGUACCGUAACUUCGGAUAAGGUACGCCCUGGUAGCUUGACUGGCCUGCGCCAGAAGGGUGAAGGGGUUGCAAUAAAAUGGUGGCUGCGACUGUUUAAUAAAAACACAGCACUCUGCAAACACGAAAGUGGACGUAUAGGGUGUGACGCCUGCCCGGUGCCGGAAGAUUAAAUGAUGGGGUGCAAGCUCUUGAUUGAAGUCCCGGUAAACGGCGGCCGUAACUAUAACGGUCCUAAGGUAGCGAAAUUCCUUGUCGGGUAAGUUCCGACCUGCACGAAUGGCGUAACGAUGGCCACACUGUCUCCUCCCGAGACUCAGCGAAGUUGAAGUGUUUGUGAUGAUGCAAUCUCCCCGCGGCUAGACGGAAAGACCCCAUGAACCUUUACUGUAGCUUUGCAUUGGACUUUGAACCGAUCUGUGUAGGAUAGGUGGGAGGCUUUGAAGCGUGGACGCUAGUCUACGUGGAGCCGUCCUUGAAAUACCACCCUGGUUUGUUUGAGGUUCUAACCUUGGCCCGUGAAUCCGGGUCGGGGACAGUGCAUGGUAGGCAGUUUGACUGGGGCGGUCUCCUCCCAAAGUGUAACGGAGGAGUUCGAAGGUACGCUUGGUACGGUCGGACAUCGUACCUAAAGUGCAAUGGCAAAAGCGUGCUUAACUGCGAGACCGACAAGUCGAGCAGGUGCGAAAGCAGGACAUAGUGAUCCGGUGGUUCUGAAUGGAAGGGCCAUCGCUCAACGGAUAAAAGGUACUCUGGGGAUAACAGGCUGAUACCGCCCAAGAGUUCAUAUCGACGGCGGUGUUUGGCACCUCGAUGUCGGCUCAUCUCAUCCUGGGGUAGCCGGUCCCAAGGGUAUGGCUGUUCGCCAUUUAAAGAGGUACGUGAGCUGGGUUUAAAACGUCGUGAGACAGUUUGGUCCCUAUCUGCCGUGGGCGUUGGAAUCUUGACGGGGGCUGCUCCUAGUACGAGAGGACCGGAGUGGACGUACCGCUGGUGUACCUGUUGUCUCGCCAGAGGCAUCGCAGGGUAGCUAUGUACGGAAGAGAUAACCGCUGAAAGCAUCUAAGCGGGAAACUCGCCUGAAGAUGAGGAUUCCCUGGCGGCUUGACCGCCUUGAAGGGUCGUUCGAGACCAGGACGUUGAUAGGCUGGGUGUGGAAGCGCAGUAAUGCGUUAAGCUAACCAGUACUAAUUGCCCGUAAGGCUUGAUCCU